AAGGAAGGACAGAAAUCAGUAAGUACUGCUAAUACUUAUGCACCGAAGUUAGAAUCCUCGGCUUCUUUA
RNAcentral lists this transfer RNA (69 nucleotides) under Rhinichthys cataractae (longnose dace). Its description in RNAcentral is "tRNA-Ser". Lineage: Eukaryota; Metazoa; Chordata; Actinopteri; Cypriniformes; Leuciscidae. The record is from RNAcentral.